UGCAGAUAUGUAAAUAUGUACAUGAUCAAAUCUCAUCAAAAUUUGUAAUUGCUGUUGUGAUAUCUGUGACAAUGCACAUGGCCACACAGGGUCUGAAGUCUGUAGCUGUGUGUUUUUCAGGGACACCGACGAAGGCGAGGAUGAGUCUUCACUACAGCAAUCCACGAAUUUUUCCUGCGUACCUCCCGAACCACUUACCGGACAGUUUGGGAACCGAGGGCCUAAAGAAACUACAGAGCGAAGAGCAGGAGGAACAAGAGAACACGUGGCUUUCUCUGGGGUCUGAAGUCUGUAGCUGUGUGUUUUUCGAGACACCGACGAAGGCGAGGAUGAGUCCUAACUACAGCAAUCCACGAUUUUUUCCUGCGUACCUCCCGGACCACUUACCGGACAGUUUGGGAACCGAGGGCCUAAAGAAACUACAGAGCGAAGAGCAGGAGGAACAAGAGGACACGUGGCUUUCUCUGGGUAAACCUAUAUAUCACCUUUAUAUUUCCUCCUUGCAAUCACCAAGUACCUAUAUGUAUAUAAUGUAUUUUAAUGUUUAAAUAUUUGUAAAAAUUGUCAACAUUUUUGGAAAACGGAAUUUAGUUUAUUACCAAAAUGCAGAUAUGUAAAUAUGUACAUGAUCAAAUCUCAUCAAAAUUUGUAAUUGCUGUUGUGAUAUCUGUGACAAUGCACAUGGCCACACAGGGUCUGAAGUCUGUAGCUGUGUGUUUUUCAGGGACACCGACGAAGGCGAGGAAGAGUCUUCACUACAGCAAUCCACGGUAUGGAUAUGAAACAGAAGCUGGCACUUUUACAAUCAGUAGGUCUGGACCCGGCUCCGUCCGGUCUGAUACAAAAGUGUUGUAAUGACUUCACACACAUGUUAUAUAUUGGAGGAC
Long non-coding RNA from Clupea harengus (Atlantic herring), 887 nucleotides. Lineage: Eukaryota; Metazoa; Chordata; Actinopteri; Clupeiformes; Clupeidae. The record is from Ensembl.